GAUGAAGAACGCAGCGAAAUGCGAUAAUUAAUGUGAAUUGCAGAAUUCAGUGAAUCAUCGAAUCUUUGAACGCACAUUGCGCCCGCCAGUAUUCUGGCGGGCAUGCCUGUUCGAGCGUCAUUUCAACCAUCAAGCCCCCGGGCUUGUGUUGGGGACCUGCGGCUGCCGCAGGCCCUGAAAAGCAGUGGCGGGCUCGCUGUCACACCGAGCGUAGUAGAUUUUAUCUCGCUCAGGGCGUGCUGCGGGUUCCGGCCGUUAAACCACCUUCAUAACCCAAGGUUGACCUCGGAUCAGGUAGGAAGACCCGCUGAACUUAAGCAUAUCAAUAAGCGGAGGA
RNAcentral lists this unclassified non-coding RNA (337 nucleotides) under soil metagenome. RNAcentral's name for it is "partial contains 5.8S ribosomal RNA, internal transcribed spacer 2, and large subunit ribosomal RNA". The stretch from base 1 to 120 matches the Rfam family "5.8S ribosomal RNA", at positions 35 to 154 of the family's 154-position model. The record is from RNAcentral.